AGGGUUUAGCUUCAAACGUACGCUGAAAUAUUUCUACAACGGAAUUUAAAUAACGUGACACGUCAACUACAGAUAAAAAUAGGCUUGCUGUAGAAGGGCAAAUUCGGUAGACCAAAGCGAGGAUGAGACAACUGAAAGGGAAAGUAAAAGAAAGCAAGAAGGAGAGAAGAGAAAGAAGAGAAGACAAUGUAAAGAACAGAGACAAAUUGUUCACAAUGGUCAUUCCAACCUUGGCUGUUUUAGCGGCUAUCAUCACUGUCUAUGUCUUCAUUAAUUCAAGACCAAGUGCUACAUGAUCAAUGCUGACACCUGAUUAAGCUGUGGUUUUCUGAAUGUCAGAGGAAUCAGUUUUAGUGCUGAUUACACGAUGAAGAAUCAAAGAUAAUUUCAGAUAUUGGUGUUCUACAAAAAAUACUGUGUAUAUACUACUAUUGGAUACUGGCAGCAUAAUACGCCUGGAUUACAGCUCGUUAAUGGUACAUGUAUUCUGUUUUAAUACAAGUUUUCAUGAGAGAUUUUUUUACAUUUUCUAAUAGCUUGAGUCUGUGAUCAAUUAAAAAUUUAUAAGAGUGACAAUGCAAGAGAUGUUUCAGAAAUUUACAAGUGCAUAUGUCCUCUGAUUAGUUUAAGAUAUAAGUGGUAGAUAUAAUCUCCAUUCAUGUUUUACCAUGUGGCUCAAUUGGUACAUGUAAUAUGCUUUUUCCUACGUUGAAUACUAGAAUAUGAAAUGCAAAUAAAAUCUAUGUUUCCUGGUAUUCAGCUCUCAUGUAAGUACUGAAAAAACAACAGAAGAAAUAAUUUUAGUGAUUAUUGCAAAUACUUUGUGUUUGCAGACAACAGUCCUUUUUUUAACUUGUUUUAUAUUAAUCCUUUUAAUUUAACUUAUAGAUAUGUCUAUGUCCAAUAUACAGUAUAAGAUUCAUUUCACCAUGGAUGUAGUUUAUAUUAGAGGCAAUGAUAGAAGAUAGAAAAUACUCAUUUAAAUAGUGAGAAAGUUACUUUCAUUGUCUUUUUGGGAGUUACAGUUAAUGAUUUUUGGUACAUGUUUUUGAAAUAUAAUAUAAAUGACACAAUUUUUUUAAGUUUUGAUUUUCUUGUUAAAAGAUUUUUGGAGUCUAAUGAAAAUUAAACUCCUUCCAUCAUGUGUUCCCCAGUAUUAUUCCUAUUUGAAAAUCUUUCAAUUUUCACCUUUCAUAUUUUUAUAAUUUGUACAAAAAUAUGAGAUUCAUUUUAUUGCUUGUCAACUCAGUUAUAGUGCAUCAGAGCAUACUGAUCAAACAGUAAUCUUUUGCUUUUCAUUUCUAAAUCAUUUUUCUAUUUUGAAUAAUGCCAAACUUGUGCACACCUUUGAAAAUUGAAAAAAAAUAAACCUCUUGUCAAAUUAACUGUAGUUAAAUUUCACAUGUAAUUGUGGUGGAGGAAUUUCACGAUCAGAUAUUAAUCAAGAUACAUAAUUAUGUGUCUGCACAAUGCUUAUUUUAAUUUGUUUGCUUCUCAUGUUCAGUGUAUAAAUAAAAGUGGCCUCAGGAUCAUGAAACCAUCUUAAGUUUAAAACUGUCUUAAGGUUUAACUUAACCAAUCAUGAUUAACAUCAUGAAAGAGUGACUGGCAAAGUGAAAUUUUAAGUUGAAGAUUGUUUCAUCAUUUUGGAUAUGGUGCGCUGAUGAAUUAAUUUCAUUGAUGAUUGAUCAUGUGUUGUUUUCAACCAUUAGUUUUCAAGAGAACAACAGUAGUUUAUUGGAUUACAAAUCACUAUAAAUGAUGAAUAAAUAACUUUGAUUUAUUUCAUUUGGCAACUAGGCCUAUUUGCUGCCAGAUUUAGAGUAUACCAUAUGUAAUUGAUCAUUAAUCAGUGAUUGACAGUUUGAUAGAAAUUAAUGAUUGAUCCUGUUCUUUAAACCGAUUCCACCACUAAUAAACACUACUGGUUUUGCCACUUAUAUAUGUAUAGGUGCUGUCUUGAUGUAUUGUUGAAAGUAUUUUUCACAAGUUUACAUGUGUCCCGUUGAUGUGUAACAUACCAGAUAAUAAAUUUAUAUAUUGUUGUUCUUAAAAUAAAAAGGUUGUUGGAUACGAAAA
Molecule: long non-coding RNA, 2079 nt
Organism: Ylistrum balloti
Lineage: Eukaryota; Metazoa; Mollusca; Bivalvia; Pectinida; Pectinidae
Exons: 2
Source: RefSeq, a predicted model, not a curated record